Molecule: long non-coding RNA, 859 nt
Organism: Alosa alosa (allis shad)
Lineage: Eukaryota; Metazoa; Chordata; Actinopteri; Clupeiformes; Clupeidae
Exons: 2
Source: RefSeq, a predicted model, not a curated record
UCGAUCAUGCUUGUAUCCAAGCCGUUCCUUUACUAAUUACAUUUUUAACUGAUUCUAUUCUAUCUACUGAGUCUUUUCUGGUAGAACUUUUGUUCACUCUUUCUUGCGUUUGUGUAGAAGUUGGCUGGUUUCAGAUUUGUUGAUAAAUUGAUUUUCGGAUUUUGAUUUCUGGUGAUCUGAUUUUAAUGUGGUUCUGCUGGUUCUUAGCCUGCUGCCUAGCAGCACGGCAGGAUGAGCACAGUUCAGAUAGAGCCAUUAAGAAGUGCGUGAAAAAAUACAGACUGGAGGAACUAAAGAGAGAGCUGGAGGCUUUGGGGGUUAACGUUGAUGGACAUGGACAAGACAUGGAUGAAAAUGAAAAUAAAAAGAAAGACCAAAAAGAAACUCCAAAAGCUACUAAUAAAGGAGCUGAAGCAGGUCGAGGACGGCAGAACUGGCCUAGACAAGAAGGUGAGGGCAGAAGGACUAACUCUGCCCAUGGAGAUCCCAGAAGACGUCCUAAAUGUUCUUCAUGACCUUGAUGCAUCCUUGGACAAAGAGUUGGAAGACUCUGAGAGAAAUGAACAGAGGGAUGACAAUGUGAAAGCUGUGCUCGACAGUCUCCUAGAUAAAGUGGACUUAACUCCGGCUUGAAAGACAAAGGAGAAAAGGAGAGAGUAUUGAGGCCCGAAGCUGGAGACAGGAAGGAGGAGUAAGGAGGAGGCCAAUUUCUGGAGUGCCAGAACCACAAAGGCUUCAUCCCCAAGGGGAGGUUUCGGGGGCCAGACACAGCAGCAGACGGCUGACUGUGUGAACGAUUGACAAGGACUUAACCAUCAAAAACCAUCAAUAAAGCAGAUACAAGUUGUAGUGAUCUUAA